CCCUGGUUCACCUUCUAAAGGGCUCCAAAUCCCCACUAAUUCAGGGCAGCGUUCUUGAAUUUGCCUACUUAAUGACAGAUGCAUAAACUUACUUUGAGUUAAAUUGUCAAGGAAGCCCAUGAACGCUUGAAGGAGGAACUGGACAAGAGAAGAACACCUGUAGUUACCAACGAAGAAGAGCUCUUCAGUGUAUCCGUCACCAUACAAAUGUGGGUGGAGAUGUUCCCUUCCCCUAUGAGCUCAUCGACCAUACAGACAAGACAAAUUCAGGCUGCAGGAUGGAUUGGUCAUACACUGUCCAGAAGUGGGAGAUCCAGCCAUCUUUAUGAAAGGACUGUGUUUUUAAACAUGAAAAACGCCCUAAGAAUGGUCCAAAGAGUAGAAAAGAAAGGUUGGAAACCAAUAGGGAUAAACAAACAAACAACAAAAUAAACCACCCUGCAGAUUUUCAACUUUCAGUGUCAUUUCAAAUUUCAGGAAAUAAAUGUGGAAAACAGACUGAUGACAGCUUUGUGACAUCCACCCCUCUGCCUCCGAGUGCCUUUUAUCCAACAGGAAAACAAAGCAUGCAGUUAAGGAAGACUGGAAAAAUUAAGCCUGAAUCUCUCAUUGACCUGAAACCCACCCUCCAGGGGCAACCAGCAGCUUCCACACCAGCCUUUCACUAUUCAUUGUCCUUCCUAAUGAGAACAACAUUAGACUACUACCUCAACACGACUGAAAUGAUUUCAUGGUAGAAAAUGAUCGUCUCUAUACUUCAGAAGCACUGGUGGUGUUUGCUAUUCAAAUUAGAAUCCUUCCAUACUAACUGUUUUAUUAUCACCAUUAUUAUUUCUGUAUGCUGCGGAAAAGAAGAGAAUCAUUAUUUUCCAUCAGUUCAUUUAGCAGCGGUUGAAAGUUUCUUCUAGUAAACACAAGGAUCAGUCUCUGCUCUGAAGAAUCAAGUAACUACAAAAACGCAGUGGCAUCUUUUAUGCAAAGCAUCACCCCUAUGCCUUUACUCACUGUGCUUUUCCUUAAAUGACUGUAAUGAGACUGUUAAGCAUUCCAGCCUUGUGACUAAUCCCUGCAGGUUUCACCGAUGACAAUAAUAUCAAAUUUCUUCUCAUCAAUGGGAAUUUCCAUUUCCAGCUUGCUUGUUACCCUGGAGUCUAGAACUGCUGUAUAAGAAACAGUUAUAGGAAAAUAGGAAACCCUCUUUUUUCUUCACAACUUUAGCACAGCAGCUCAAUUUGUUUGCAACGUGCUGAUUUUUAGUUCAGUUUGCAUUUGCCUUCUUAGCACCUUCCCUUUGUGUCAUUAGUCAAGCAACCGCCUGGCUGUUCCAGCUUGUUUCUGACAGAACGGAGUAGGUUUGAGAUGGAGGCCAUUCUGCUCACAUGUGAUUGCAUAUAUAUAUAAAAGACUGAAAGCAGCAUUAUGAAACCUCCAGCAACUCAGCUACACACUGCAGCCAC
Molecule: long non-coding RNA, 1457 nt
Filed under: Gallus gallus (chicken)
Lineage: Eukaryota; Metazoa; Chordata; Aves; Galliformes; Phasianidae
Description: lncRNA (ENSGALG00010006964.1)
Source: RNAcentral